Molecule: ribosomal RNA, 444 nt
Filed under: uncultured bacterium
Lineage: Bacteria
Description: partial 16S ribosomal RNA
Rfam family: Bacterial small subunit ribosomal RNA
Source: RNAcentral
CUACGGGUUGCUGCAGUGGGGAAUAUUGCACAAUGGGCGCAAGCCUGAUGCAGCAACGCCGCGUGAGGGACGACGGCCUUCGGGUUGUAAACCUCUUUUAGCAGGGAAGAAGCGAAAGUGACGGUACCUGCAGAAAAAGCACCGGCUAACUACGUGCCAGCAGCCGCGGUAAUACGUAGGGUGCAAGCGUUGUCCGGAAGUAUUGGGCGUAAAGAGCUCGUAGGCGGUUUGUCGCGUCUGCUGUGAAAAUCCGAGGCUCAACCUCGGACCUGCAGUGGGUACGGACAAACUAGAGUGCGGUAGGGGAGAUUGGAAUUCCUGGUGUAGCGGUGGAAUGCGCAGAUAUCAGGAGGAACACCAAUGGCGAAGGCAGAUCUCUGGGCCGUAACUGACGCUGAGGAGCGAAAGCGUGGGGAGCGAACAGGAUUAGAUACCCGCGUAGUC